UAUUUGAUACGUUUUCUAGAUGGGUUUGUAGCUUGGCUUCCUUUCCGGAAGUUAUGUGCACGCCUGUCUGGACUUCAUUUUCAUCCACCUUGUGCACCUUUUGUAGUCUUUUUCAGGUAUUGGAGGAAGUGGUCAGCCUAUCAGCUCUUUGCUGGAUGUAAGGACUUGCAGUGUGAAAACAGUGCUGUCCUUUACCUUGGCCAUGGAAUCUUUUUCCUGUUAGAGUCUAUGUUAUUCAUUAUACUCUUAGAAUGUCAUUGAAUGUCUUUACAUGGGCUAUGCCUAUGAAAAUUAUUAUACAACUUUCAGCAACGGAUCUCUUGGCUCUCGCAUCGAUGAAGAACGCAGCGAAAUGCGAUAAGUAAUGUGAAUUGCAGAAUUCAGUGAAUCAUCGAAUCUUUGAACGCAUCUUGCGCUCCUUGGUAUUCCGAGGAGCAUGCCUGUUUGAGUGUCAUUAUAUUCUCAACUCUCCAAUACUUUGUUGUAAAGGAGAGCUUGGAUUGUGGAGGUUUGCUGGCUCCUUACUUGGGGUCAGCUCCUCUGAAAUGCAUUAGCGGAAUCGUCUGCGAUCUGCCACAAGUGUGAUAACUUAUCUACACUGGCGAGGGGAUUGCUUUCUGAUGUUCAGCUUCUAAUCGUCUAAGGACAAUUUCUUGAAUGCUUGACCUCAAAUCAGGUAGGACUACCCGCUGAACUUAAGCUUUAAA
This 707-nucleotide ribosomal RNA is filed under the name Agaricus bisporus (cultivated mushroom). Its description in RNAcentral is "eukaryotic LSU rRNA". The stretch from base 301 to 454 matches the Rfam family "5.8S ribosomal RNA". Lineage: Eukaryota; Fungi; Basidiomycota; Agaricomycetes; Agaricales; Agaricaceae. The record is from RNAcentral.